ACUUUGUUAUUGUUAAGUAGAGUGCAGACUGAAACUCCUAAUUCCUUACUAUGUGUUUAAUGUGCCAGUUAAGUAGUGGUAAUUGGCAGCAGCUGUGCCCUGGAACCAAUGGUUUCUUACUGGAGGAGGAAGCCCUAAUGUGCUAAAUGGGGCAGGAGAGCUUUCGGGAGGGAGGGUUUAUAAGGCAGGAGAUGGGGAAGGGGCAGUAACCCCAAAGGAGCCGGAGGGGCUGCGGGUGGGAGACGGCAGCGGAGAAGGCGGCAGCAGGAUUCUCCAAUCAAGGGCGAUGGCUGCUGCUCCUCGUGGCCUCCCUGUGCUGCUUUUUGCUGGGCACACGGAGCUGCUCCGACCAGAGGAGAGCAGAGGAGGGAAGGAAGAGCUUUGCCAUGCACCGGCAGCAGCAGGCAUGGGUGUGCAGCACUGCAGAAACCUCAUCCCAAGCAGCACUCCGCUGGCAUCGUUAGGAGCAGGGCACUGCCAUCAGCACUGCUGCCUCCAGCUGCUGAGCUCUGCUCCUCAGGAAAACCAGGUGGAGGAAAGAAAUUGCAGCCCCAAAGGGGAGGAGGAUGUUCAGCAGCUCUCCCUGCAGCUCUCUGUGCAUGCUCUCCGUGCAGGUUGUCCAUGCAGGCUCUGCAUGCAUGCUCUCUGUGCAGGCUCUCUGUGCAUGCUGUCCAUGCAGUCUGCCCAUGCAGCACACUCUCCUGCCUCCCCUCCAGGCCACUGUGGUUCACAGCAGCAGAGGAGCCUUGGUAGCCUUGGGAGAAAUUCUUGACAUGCAAACAGUUUCAGACUGCACACAGCCCAACAUUGCUGCAGUGAAUCUGGUCCAGGGGUACUUGUGGUGCAAAAGCCUUAAUGAGAAAAUACUCUUUGCCUCCCCCAUUGCCUGUGGGACAGCUGGCAUGGUGCAGGGCUGGGAAGGAGCAUGGCUGCAAGGAGGCUCCUCCUUUGGGCGGGAGAGUCUUUCUUCCAUUGGGAAACCAUAAAGAAAAGCAUUGCACAAUCUCAGCCUAAUUAGCAACUGCAAUUUUUCUUUUAUUUUUUUUUUUUUUUUGUUUGGUUUGUUCUGAGUUCUGCAAACAAAACUCCCAUCCGAUCUGUGCACGGAGGAAGCACUGCUUCACUCGGAGAGAUCUGCCACAGAGGCACCAAAAACCUCUCUGGAGGAGAGGUAGGAAAACAAUUUGGUCAGCCCCAAAAUGUGUUCGGUGCUGUGGGAGCUGCCCUGUGUGUGCAGACCUCACACCUCAGCACAGACUCGACAGAUCUCUGCUGGGUGCUACAAAAAGCAUUUCCUGGUGGCAACAAAGGAAACCUUGGUGGUUAGACUGAGACAGAAAUGAUGGAUGUGCCAAACAACUGCUCCUUGACCAACGCAACUCACAGACAAAUCAAGACAAUUUAAAUGCAGUUAAAGCCAUUAAUGACAACAGCUGCAAAAGCCAAUGGGAGAAGGGCUGAGGAAACGAGCAGUCAUUUGUACACAAGUGUGAGGUGCUUUGAGAGAGGGUCUAUUAAAAAGUUGCGCAAAGCACAAGGCCCAGAGCAUGCAGCUAAGAAGCCAUGAGGAAUAAUGCUCAGAAGCCAUUGGCUGAAAAUGGACUCUUAACAGCAACAAAAAAUCAGAUAUGAUCCAACGUGUCUGCCGUAGCUGUUUCAGCUUGGUGGAAGGCUGAAGAGGGGGAUUCAAGCCAUGUGCUGGAAGAUGCAGCAGGAGCCAAAGCCAUGAUGGUCUGGAUGGUGUAAUGUUGGAGAGUUGUCUUAAUCUGAGCGAAAACAAGCUUUGCGGGACUGCGAAGUACAUAAAUAUUUAAUUUUAACCUGGAAUAAUUUUCUAAAGUGAAAAGACAGCUUUUCUGCCCAAAGAAACCAACAUUUCAUCCUGGCACGAUGCUCCUGCGAACACAGGCAUUUUGCUGAAAAACAGGUAAAUUGCUGCUGGGAUGGAAUUCACAGGGAUCCUUGCAAAAACAACAGAAAGCAGACAAAACCAAAACAACGACCCAGAAGCUGAAGAAAACGGGAAUUUCUCCACUAAUAAAGUGGUGUUCUUCCUGCCUGCCCCAGCCCUGCAGCCUCCCACGUGCCUCAAUUCACACUGUGCUUUGGGACAGUGCCGGAGGGGGGACAUUUGGUGACAGUGUGCGCGGGGCCAAGAGUGUCCCUUGUCCAUGUGCUCACUUCUUCCCUGGAGGUUGCAAUCGUCCCCACGCAGCGGCACCCAACCCCAGGGGCCCUUGCUCAGCACUGCCCUACUGCACCCAUCCCAUCCAUCCAUCUGGCCAUCCCAUCUGCCUAACCCAGUUCAUCCAGAGCCCCCAUCCCAUGGCUCGGGCUGUUCCGUUUCAUGGCAGCCCGAUGUCCUUGCCCUGAUAGCUAUGAGAGGAAGAGGAUUGGGAGCCUUGCAGUGACCAAAAAAGUCUUGAAAACACUUUCAUGCUAAAAAUCCCAUAUUUGACAGAAGCGUGAGAUACCUUGAGGCCUUCUAUUGAUUACCUGGGAGCAGAAGUGCACCGGCGCUUUGAGCUGUCACAGUUCCAGGCAUUUCUGAAAACGAUAGAAGACUGGAACAAAAACACAACUAGGGCUCCUGACACAGUGUGUUAAGCAAUAAAACAUGUUUAAUUGUGUUGUCUUAAGGCUAUAACCACUCGCUGGCUGAAGGUCAUUCACUACCCAUACUGCCAGUGGAAAGAGGUGCUCUGACAGGUGGGAUCCAGAUAGGAAACAGAUACCUAUGAGAUUACAGUGUGAAUGACACCGAGAUGCCAGUGGUGGUGUAGUUAAAGGAGGCAGGAUGAGCAGCAGGCAGGACACUGCCUGACUGGCGGAUCUAUAAAGGGGAUGUUAUACACACAGAGGGCAAAAUGGGAUUCAACCAGGUAUCCUCUGGGGCCAUCUCACCACUGCAUGGCAUCACUGCAUUGCUCUGUGUUGCCUCCUGCCCCAGCAGUGCAGGACCUGGGUGCACCAAGUACAGAGCACCCACUGUCCCCAAGCCAUGGGGCCAUGCAGGCUCUGCUAGGAGCCCAUCCCUGUGCAGUGAUCCUCCUGCAGCAACACCGUGCCCCAGGGAUCCUGUAGGCAGGCGUUCAAGGGCGAGUGCCUGGGAGUGGUCCACUUUAAUGGGUCAUUAACCUCCUUAAUGAAGUGGCCCAAGCCACCAUUUUGUCUUCAUGACUCUGGACUCCCUUCCUUUGGAUCGCAGUAGAGCUGUCCAGAAAAGGCAGACCUGCAAAAAGAAGGCAAUCAGAUAGAAGGGAAAAAAGGUGAACGUGAGGGAAAGGCUGGAAAUUGGUCCCCAGUCUGCUGCUUGGGGCAGAGGACAACUUGGAGUGGCCCAUGGACCUGGUGAGAGGCAGCAGCUUGACACUCGCCAGGGUUGCAUCCUUGUCUGAAGAUGGAGGAAUCUGUCUUGUGAGACGUGGAGUUUUAGAAACCAAACUGAAGAAUGGGGGCAGGACAUGGACAUGUGAAGAACAUGUGAAGGAGUGGUUUGUGGUUGGUAUUGCUUUCUACCUGGUUCAUACCAGGUGGUGGGGACCAGUGAGCUGCAGGAGGGAGAGAGCAUGCAGCCAUCCUGGAGCAUGAACUCAACCCUUCUUCAGCACAAGGUGUGUCUGGAAGCAUGAACCAGGAAUGCAUAGGAUUCCCUAUGCAAAGAAAACAUGGAACACACCAUAUGUGAGUGCCUGUUCUGAUCCGAAGGGAUUCCACUGUCCAUGGUGAGAGACAUCACGGCCUUAAAGUGGGAAUUUGGGGAGAAAUUCCAGAUGUUCCUUGCCUAGAUACUGUCUGGUCCACUGGAUGGCAUGUGCAGAUCUACCUUUCUGAGCUAACUUCUGCAUUCCGAGGCUCCUGCAUAUGGAAAAGGUUUGAGGUGUCUCAUGUUUAAUGAGAAACAGAAAAGAUUAGCUUGUAGCAAGGUAUUUAAUUAUUGGGAUAUUUCUGCUCCGGCUGCAUCCUUUGCCUCUCCAUGCGGGAAGUGCCAAAUUACAUGUCACCUCGGAGGGCAUAUUUUCUGUAGUUUUCAGAGCUCCUACAAUGGCAGCCUCAUGAAUAUUUACUGAACUGCUCAGAUAUGCAGCAGUGGGAACAAAUAAAAAAAAAGCUCGUAUUUGCAUCUCCCACAGACACUAACAAACCGUGUGGCUCUGGUAGGGAGAAGAUGGGAGAUUGCUGUUGCCUUUCCAGAGGGAUAGAGAAAACAGCUUCUCGUAUAAUGAGAUUGACUUUUAAAUUGAAAGUGUUACUGGUUGUGCCGCACUUCAUACUUCCAUGCUGUGCACUUACUCCCUAGGCUCUAACAUUAAGACAUCUUAUGUACAAGCUGGGAGGAUUCAAUUAGAGUUUCUGUUAUUAAUCAAUCAAUUAAGCCACGAUCAUUGGUAGAUACAUUUAGAUACUCCUAAAGAGGGGAGGUGGGGGCAUUACAAGUCCUUGGGCCACCAGCUUCUCCGGCUGGAGGUUGGUGGCUGCUGCCAGCUGCUGGAGCCACGUGCCCCAAGGCUGCAGGGGGAUGCUGGCACUGGGCUCUGCACCUGCCAGUGCCUGAUCCUAAUGGCCACCGAUUCAGCAAGAAGCCUGACCUGCCUCUUGUGCUCCCCAACCGACAUGAGGCAGUGAGAUGGGACAGAUUCAGAGCCUCCUGGGUUUUCCUGAGCGUUUCCUCAUCCAUCCAAAGGAAGUUCCUUGGUGUGAACGGGGGCUGAAGGCAGCGCUGCCAGGAACUGCAUAGGGGAAAGUGAGAGAUGAAAAAUCCUUGUGCACAACUUUAGGUACGGCACAGGCUGUGCCUUUAUCAGGGGGCCUGUGGGGGUCUCAUCCAAAUGGGAGCCGCAGCCUCCAGGGGAGGACGUGGAGAGCUCAGUGAUGCUGAGCUGAAGUUUGAACACUUGAAGAGAAGUGGAUGUGUGAGCGCUGUCUAUAGGUGAGGAUAAAAAAAAAAGGAAAGAAAAGGGAGGAUUAAAUGGCAAUGUUACCUUUACUCUUGUCAAAUACCUAAGUAGAAACAUUGGUUAAUGCCCUUAAAAAAGGCCCAUUACCACAGGGCACAGAGUCAAAGAGCCUGGCUGCCCUAAUACUCAGUUAUCUCGUUCCUGGAUAAUGGAAUGACCCCUCGCCUGCCCGAGCUGUACUACGAUAUAAUAGCAUGAGCCGUGUGAAUAAAGAGGUUAUUUUUGGAAUCCAAUUGAAACAGUGCUGGAGCUUGUGUGACAGGGGAAGGAUUGAACAAGAUGCAAUGCUCUACGGGAAGGGGGAAAAAAUUGAAUUUUGGGGAAAGUGCUGCCUGCAGUGAACUGGGCAGGGGCAGCCAGCAGGGAUCAGGGCUGGGACAGUGCCUGCCCCACAGCUGCAGCCUCAGUGCUCGGCCUUUGCACACGCACAAAGUUAAGAGACACAGUGCGAUGCUAAUUCUGGGUGCGCAGCAUCCAAUACGUAGGACUGCAAUUCAUCAAAGAGGGAGAGACAAGGAGCACGAGAGAUUCAGCGUGAACGUAGAGAUGAAAAUGAAUAUUAAUUUACAAAGCAGCACAAAGACAAUGGGAUUCAAGGAGAUUGAUAUCACAAACUCCCCUUAUUCAAUCAGAUUACGGUCCCAUCUUCCCCAAACACCAAUUGCUAAUCUAGAUUCGAAAGACAAAUCCUCCUGCAGAAGGGCUUUGCCUUUAUCUUGUUCGUCUGGUGCUUCUGCUUAAGACGUUACUCCAGUUUUGGGGGGGAGCUGGGGAGGAAGAAACCUUAUGCAGCGUUUAACCGCAUCGCUGCUGAAGCACCGGGAGGAGAGAGCUCUGACUGCGAGCCCCUCCUGCAGCCUGCCCAUCAAAGGCGAGGCACCAACGGGAUCCACGCGAGGCUCAGCAUCUCCCAGCAGCGCGCAUAGCCCUGCCGACGAUCACAUCGACCUCACUCCGGCAGCGGUAGCGAUCAAUAUAUUUUUUCCUCUCUUAUUGUUUCUUACAAGCACUUAGAUACGUUUGUCCUAUAAAAAUGGUAAGCUGUCCAGGGCUUCAUUUGCGUUCGGGGACCUGGGGGUCCCCAGCAGUUUGAGCCCGUGAUUAUUAGCACCGCCGCCGGUAUCAGCGCUGUCACCGUGCCGUGACACCACAUCUGGCAACCUUGGUCAGGCAGCAGCUCGUUUUCUCAUGUCACUGCUUCUUCCACAUCCCGUUAAUCACGGAAGAGUGUCUCUCAGCUUGCCAUGUGCAAGGGCAGGGCUGGCAAAGAAUCCCUCGGUGGCAGCUUUUGUGAUAGCCAGUGCCACCCCGCGCUGUGACAUCACCCCAUGCUAUGACGUCAUACCAUGCUGUGACAUCACCCCAAGCUGUGACACUGCCCUGAGCGUUCUGCAGGCACGUGGCUCGUCUGCUGCAUGCCGACUAACACAUGCCUAAUUGAAAGAUGAGCAAAACUUGAAAAGAGAUGGUAAUUACCAGUGGGGUUUAAAUGCAGUUUGUGUUUUACUACUUAAAAGCAAUUUAAUAAAAAAAGAAAAAAAAGCAAAAUUGCAUUAAUUUGUGUUACGAUCCGUUAUUAAAACCACUUUGUGGUUAAACUCACAAGUGGAGAUGAUGAUCCCGAUAAGGUAAGCACAAGGCAGGAGCUGAGAGCUCUCAGAAUCAGGACCCGCCAGCGCCUUCUGCUUCUCUAAGACACCAGAAAAUACGGGUUGUUGCUGCUUAACUUCCAGGUUGCAAAUGGGAUGUGAUAAAGAAGUGAAAUUUUUAAGAUGAUAAUUUAUCUAUGCCUGUCUAGUAAUUAUGUAUUUUAUUUGUGUAGCACGUGCGGUACAAUAAAUGUUACAGAUUCAAAGCGGUGUUAUUUGUACUUUACAUGUCAAGUGUUUCUGACAUAUACAUGCAUUUCAAGUGGAAUUAUUUUUUUUUUCUAUUCGAUGCAAAUGGCUCUGUAUUCCACUGUGGUUGAGUAAACUGUGUAUUCUCUCCCUGUCAAUGAUCUCCUUGGAAAUAGAUGUCAGCCAAUCAGUCAGUUAAAAAAAAAACAAACCACCACACGCCCAACAAAAACCCAGCGACCAAACAAACCAGCCUCUCCAAUUUACUGCCGCUCCGCUCCGUGCAGAGACAAAGGAACAGAGCCCCAUGGCAGCAGGCAGCUGAUGCACAUUAUGAGGCUGGAAUGGGACAGCCCAGAGGGCUCUGCUCAGGUUUGCUCUGAUUCCGUCCACCUCUUCUACCCGUGGGGCUCCUCCUGCAUGAGGCUUUGGAGUGAAGGAGAGAAGAAAAGGAACUUUUUGGUCAUUAAAGCUUGAGACUUUGGGAGGCAUCAAGCUGUUGGUUCAUCGCGGCGCAGUCGGACUCGAGGACCUCUGAGGGUCCCUAUUGACUCAAACCAUCCUGUGGUUGUAUGACAGCAGAUGCUUUCUGCAGCGAUGGAGAUGACAAAAAGAAUACCAACCUGAUUGCACGUCAAACUGAAUUUUGGGAUCAAAAUAAAAAAGUGUCAGCCCUCCUUCCCUCCCAGCCCAGAACCAAGAGCCAUUCACCCACAUAUGGCAGCAGUGCUGUGGCAUGGGCAAGCAGCAUCAGCCCUGUGCUGCAGGGCCGGGAGCGGUGGGCACCUGUGGGCAGCACACAAAGACCUCCUUCAUCAGCCAGGGCUCCCCAUGCCCACCCUACAAUGUCCCCUUCCUUCCCCACCAACCCGCCAGCAUUAGGGGCUGCAAUUAAAAUGCGCAGCUCAUUCCGCCAUGAAAACACAAGGAAAGGGCACAGGCAAAAAAACAUGAAUACCCAAACGAUCCGACUGCACCAAGGUUUAAAUAGCUUGCUCACUGCGAUCCCCCUUUGAAGCUGAUCAGAAUCACGUCCUUUGCUAUUAAGGUGAUUUUUAUCAGCUUUCGCUGCGCUUCCCUUUUCAAGCGCUCAUUUGAGCCGGAGCCGGGAAGGAGCGCUCACACUCCACGCUUUGCUUUCUAUUGUUGUUCUUAUUUUACUACACAGGGGAGAAGUAAUCUUUUUUUUCUCCCCUUGGCCUAGAGCUAUUGUACAUAUGCAAAUGUGGCAAUGGCAGCCAGCUAUUUAUAGCUCGAGUUCUUGCUACACUUAUCACAACCACUGCAGACUUUUAAAAGCAGAACCCACACACACAGUAUUUUUUCCCCAGGAUAUAAAUUUCCCAUCCCAAUGCAGCCUGGCCCGUCGCAUGCAACAUUGAUUGUCUGUUAUAUUACAUUUAUUAAGGAGUGAUAACUUGUAAUAAUUGGAUGUUAAAUUAAAGAACUCUUUCCUAGUUAU
Gallus gallus (chicken) is the source of this 8258-nucleotide long non-coding RNA. The record is from Ensembl. Lineage: Eukaryota; Metazoa; Chordata; Aves; Galliformes; Phasianidae.